This 534-nucleotide ribosomal RNA is filed under the name uncultured bacterium. RNAcentral's name for it is "bacterial SSU rRNA". It matches the Rfam family "Bacterial small subunit ribosomal RNA", at positions 772 to 1304 of the family's 1533-position model. The record is from RNAcentral.
ACCCAAUAGAUACCCGGGUAGUCCACGCCCUAAACGAUGGAUACUAGGCGUAAGAGGUAUCGACCCCUCUUGUGCCGCAGCUAAACGCAUUAAGUAUCCCGCCUGGGGAGUACGGCCGCAAGGUUGAAACUCAAAUGAAUUGACGGGGACCCGCACAAGCGGUGGAGCAUGUGGAUUAAUUCGAUACUAACCGAAGAACCUUACCCAGGUUUGACAUCGAUUGUAAGCUCUAGAGAUAGGGCCCUCCCCACAAGGGGACAUGAAGACACUUGUUGCAUGGCUGUCGUCAGCUCGUGCCGUGAGGUGUACGGUUAAGUCCGCCAACGAGCGCAACCCUCGUCCUGUGUUACCAGCGAUUAAAGUCGGGAACUCACAGGAGACCGCCGGUGUAAGCCGGAGGAAGGUGAGGAUGACGUCAAGUCAGCAUGGCAGUUACGCCUGGGGCUUCACACAUGCUACAAUGGGCGAAACAAUGGGCAGCAAUACCGCGAGGUGGAGCAAAUCCCAAAAAUACGCCCCAGUUCAGAUUGCAGU